AGUCACUGACAUUAGAUACCCCCGUAGUCCCAGCCGUAAACAAUGUGCGUUAGGUGUGUCGGUAACCACGUGUUACUGAUGCGCCGAAGAGAAAUCGUGAAACGCACCACCUGGGAAGUACGGUCGCAAGGCUGAAACUUAAAGGAAUUGGCGGGGGAGCACCACAACAGGUGGAGCCUGCGGUUUAAUUGGAUUCAACGCCGGACAUCUCACCGGAUAAGACAGCUGAAUGAUUGUCAAUCUGAAGGUUUUACAUGACUAGCUG
This 265-nucleotide ribosomal RNA is filed under the name uncultured archaeon. RNAcentral describes it as "partial 16S ribosomal RNA". It matches the Rfam family "Archaeal small subunit ribosomal RNA", at positions 718 to 982 of the family's 1478-position model. The record is from RNAcentral.